This 372-nucleotide ribosomal RNA is filed under the name Nitrospira sp. UW-LDO-01. Its description in RNAcentral is "bacterial SSU rRNA". It matches the Rfam family "Bacterial small subunit ribosomal RNA", at positions 1171 to 1533 of the family's 1533-position model. The record is from RNAcentral. Lineage: Bacteria; Pseudomonadati; Nitrospirota; Nitrospiria; Nitrospirales; Nitrospiraceae.
AGGUGGGGAUGACGUCAAGUCAGCAUGGCCUUUAUGCCUGGGGCCACACACGUGCUACAAUGGCCGGUACAAAGCGCUGCAAGCCCGUAAGGGGGAGCCAAUCGCAAAAAACCGGCCUCAGUUCAGAUUGAGGUCUGCAACUCGACCUCAUGAAGGCGGAAUCGCUAGUAAUCCCGGAUCAGCACGCCGGGGUGAAUACGUUCCCGGGCCUUGUACACACCGCCCGUCACACCACGAAAGUUUGUUGUACCUGAAGUCGUUGGCGCCAACCGCAAGGGGGCAGACGCCCACGGUAUGACCGAUGAUUGGGGUGAAGUCGUAACAAGGUAGCCGUAGGGGAACCUGCGGCUGGAUCACCUCCUUUCUAAGGAG